Molecule: ribosomal RNA, 425 nt
Filed under: uncultured bacterium
Lineage: Bacteria
Description: partial 16S ribosomal RNA
Rfam family: Bacterial small subunit ribosomal RNA
Source: RNAcentral
GUGGGGAAUCUUGCGCAAUGGGCGAAAGCCUGACGCAGCCAUGCCGCGUGAAUGAUGAAGGUCUUAGGAUUGUAAAAUUCUUUCACCGGGGACGAUAAUGACGGUACCCGGAGAAGAAGCUCCGGCUAACUUCGUGCCAGCAGCCGCGGUAAUACGAAGGGGGCUAGCGUUGCUCGGAAUUACUGGGCGUAAAGGGCGCGUAGGCGGACAGCUUAGUCAGAGGUGAAAGCCCAGGGCUCAACCUUGGAAUUGCCUUUGAUACUGGCUGUCUUGAGUACGGGAGAGGUGAGUGGAACUCCGAGUGUAGAGGUGAAAUUCGUAGAUAUUCGGAAGAACACCAGUGGCGAAGGCGACUCACUGGCCCAAUACUGACGCUGAGGCGCGAAAGCGUGGGGAGCAAACAGGAUUAGAUACCCUAGUAGUCC